RNAcentral lists this ribosomal RNA (558 nucleotides) under Nodulisporium sp. JR21. Its description in RNAcentral is "eukaryotic LSU rRNA". The stretch from base 182 to 335 matches the Rfam family "5.8S ribosomal RNA". The record is from RNAcentral. Lineage: Eukaryota; Fungi; Ascomycota; Sordariomycetes; Xylariales; Xylariaceae.
GGGGCCUGGAGAGCCUAAAACUCCCGCAAACCCCAUGUGAACAUACCAUACGUUGCCUCGGCAGGCCCCAGACGCGCCUAGCGCGCGCACCCCCAGGGGGGGCGCGGCUGGGACCUGCCGGCGGCCCAAGCAAACCCUGUCGUCACUGAAUUCUGAGCCCGCAUGUAGGAAAUUAAGUUAAAACUUUCAACAACGGAUCUCUUGGUUCUGGCAUCGAUGAAGAACGCAGCGAAAUGCGAUAAGUAAUGUGAAUUGCAGAAUUCAGUGAAUCAUCGAAUCUUUGAACGCACAUUGCGCCCGCCAGUAUUCUGGCGGGCAUGCCUGUUCGAGCGUCAUUUCAACCCCUUAAGCCCCUGUUGCUUAGCGUUGGGAGCCUACGGCCCGCCGUAGCUCCUCAAAGUUAGUGGCGGAGCCGGCCCGCACCCCAGGCGUAGUAGUUCAGUCAGCUCGCCCGCGGUCGGACCAGUCCCCUGCCGUAAAACACCCCAUUCUCGCAAGGUUGACCUCGGAUCAGGUAGGGAUACCCGCUGAACUUAAGCAUAUCAAUAAGCGGAGGAA